RNAcentral lists this ribosomal RNA (459 nucleotides) under uncultured bacterium. Its description in RNAcentral is "partial 16S ribosomal RNA". It matches the Rfam family "Bacterial small subunit ribosomal RNA", at positions 338 to 795 of the family's 1533-position model. The record is from RNAcentral.
CCUACGGGUGGCAGCAGUGAGGAAUAUUGGUCAAUGGGCGCGAGCCUGAACCAGCCAAGUCGCGUGAGGGAAGACGGUCCUAUGGAUUGUAAACCUCUUUUGUCGGGGAGCAAAAGACGCCACGCGUGGCGUUCCGAGAGUACCCGAAGAAAAAGCCUCGGCUAACUCCGUGACAGCAGCCGCGGUAAUACGGCUGAUGCGAGCGUUAUCCGGAUUUAUGGGGGUUCACGGGUGCGGAGGCGGAAGAUCAAGUCGGCGGUCAAGUUGAUAGGCCCAACCUCUUCGAGCCGUUGAAACUGGUUUUCUGGAGUGAGCGAGAAGUAUGCGGAAUGCGUGGUGUAGCGGUGAAAUGCAUAGAUAUCCCGCAGAACUCCGAUGGCGAAGGCAGCAGACCGGCGCUCAACUGACGCUCAUGCACGAAAGUGUGGGUAUCGAACAGGAUUAGAUACCCGGGUAGUC